GAGCUGUUGCUGCCGUCCUAUGCCAGAGCCACAGCAACACCAGAUCUGAGCCAAGUCUGCAACCGAUGCCACAGCUCACAGCAAUGCCAGAUCCUUAACCCAGUGAGUGAGGCCAGGGAUCGAACCCACAACUUCAUGGUUCCUAGUCAGAUUUGUUUAUGCUGCGCCACAAUGGGAACUCCUGUUUUUUUGUUUUUGUUUUUGUUUUUGACCAUGCCAGUGGCAUGUAGUUCUUGGGCCAGGGAUCCAACAGCUGUGACUCCAGCCACUGUGGUGACAAUGUUGCAGAAACUAUGGCAGCAGAAAGAGACAGACGGCACUCAGAGACGUGGAAUAGCCAGGUUUAUUCAGCACCAGUGUGGGCUCAGAGGCGCCUCCAGAGUCUGAGCACCAGGUCUUUGUUCUGGGUGGCUUUUAUACAACACAGACUUCCAGGUCUUAAGGUUUUCCCACACAAGCAGUCCUGGCCCUCCCCCUUCCCCGAGCAGACGGAGUUCCUGCCUAAGAAGCUGAACAAACAAGAUUCCAAAAGCAAAACUGAUAAGCAAUGCAUGGUGCACGGUUAGCAGGGCUGCUAGCAAGGACAUAAGGUACAUAGUUGCUGCACGAUUACAAGAAGAGUGGUAUGUGGCCAGCAAAGCCUGCUGACAGUCAUAUAGCUGCCUCUUCAGCUGGAAGGUUGUUUCUCUAGUUAAAACUCUGAUUUCAGCAAUGCCAGAUCCUUAAUCUGCUGUACCACAAGGGAACUCCAUGCCUUCUUCUUAGAUUAUGAUUAUAAUAGCUGUUUUUUUCAAUUGUAGUAAAAACCAAAUGUCAUAAAAUUUACCAUCUUAAUCAUUUUAAAAUGUAUAGCUUAGUAGUGUUAACUAUAUUCAUAUUGUGCAGCAGAUCUUUAGAACUUCGUCAUAUUGCAAAACUAAAACUCUUUACCCAUUGAACAAUAGCUUCCAUUUCUUCUUUCCCCUAGUCCUUGGCAAAUGCAAUUCAACUUUCUGUUUCUAUGCCUUUGAUUACUUUAGAUACUUCACAUAAGUGGAAUCAUACUGUAUUUGUCUUUUUGUGACUGGCUUACUUCACUUGCCAUAAUGCCUUCAAGAUUUAUUUAUGUUGUAGAAUGUGAUAGGACUUCCUCCUUUUAUAAGGCUGAAUAAUAUUCCAUUGUAUGUAUAUACCACGUUUUGUAUAUUCAGUCAUCCUUUGAUGGACAUUUGGGUUGUCUCUACCUCUUAACUGUUAUGAAUAAUGCUUAGGGCACAUGGGUAUGCAAAUAGCUCUUUGAGACCUUGCUUUCAGUUGUUUUGGAUAUAUAUACCCCUAAGUGGAGUUGCUAAAUCAUAUGGUAACUCCAUUUUUCUUUUUUUUUUCUUUUUCUUUUUUUAAGGUCGCACCCGCAGCAUAUGGAGGUUCCAGGGUCUAAUCGGAGCUACAGCUGUCAGCCUAACCCACAGCCACAGCAACGCAGGAUCCGAGCCAUGUCUGCAACCUACAGCACAGCUCACAGCAACGCUGGAGAUUUAACCCACUGAGUGAGUCCAGGGAUCAAACCUGCAACCUCAUGGUUCGUAGUCAUAUUUGUUUCCACUGUGCCAUGAUGGGAACUCCUUGUAACUCUAUUUUUAACUUUUUGAGGAAACUCCAUAUUGCUUUCCAUAGUGUACCAUUUAACAUUCCCACCAACAGUACAUUAGGUUUCCAGUUUCUCCACACCCUCACAACACUUGCUAUUUUCUGGGUCUUUUUGAUAGUGGUCGUCCAGGUGAAUGUGAAGUGAUGAAGUGAAGCAGUUUCUAUAAUGAUUUAUGAUAUUGAGCAUAUUUUCAUAUGCUUGUUGGCUAUUUCUAUACUUCUUUGUAUAUUCAAUGCUUUUGUUAUUUUUUUUUUUUUUUAAGGGCCGUAUGUAUGGCAUAUGGAAGUUCCCAGGCUAGGGGUCGAAUCCAAGCUAUAGUUGCUGGCCUAUGCCACAGCCUCGGCAACUGGGGAUCCGAGCCAAGUCCAUGACCUAUAACACAGCUCAUAGCAACACCGGAUCUUCAACCCAUGGAACGAGACCAGGGAUCGAACCUGCAUCCUCAUGGAUCUUAGUUGAGUUCGUUAACCACUGAGCCAUGAAGGGAAUGCCCGCUUUUGUUAAUUUUUAAAUUGGGCUAUUUGUUUUUGUUGUUGCUCUUGUACAAUAUCUGUUAUAAAAAUCUUUGUCUCUUACAAGAUACAAGAAUAAUAGACAAAAGUCAAUCACUUUCCUAUAUACCAGCAAUGAACAAAUGGGAUUUGAAAUUAAAAACACAAUACUAUUAAUGUUAGCAUUCCCUAAAAUGAAAUACUUAGGUAUAAAUUUAACAAAAUAUAUACAAGAUCUAUAGGAGGAAAAUUAUAAAACUCUGAUGAAUGAAAUCAAAUAAUUAAAUAAAACAGAAAGCUAUUCCAUGUUCAUGGAUAGGAAUACUCAAUACUCUUUUAAUGUCAGUUCUUCCCAAUAUAUCUAUAGAUUCAACAAAAUUCAAAAUCCCCACAAGUUACUUUAUGGAUAUUGACAAACUAAAUCUAAAGUUUAUUUUUUUUUUUUUUUUUUUUUUUUUUCUUUUAAUGGCUUCACCUGCAGCUGAUUGAAGUUCACAAGCCAGGGAUGGAAUCCUAGCUGCAACUGUGACCUACUAUGCAGCUGCAGCAAUGCUGGCUCUUUAAGCCACUGUUCUGGGUUGGGAAUCAAACUGACAGCCUUAGCAGAUACUCUGGCUGCUGCAGAGACAAUGCCGGGUCCUUAACCUGCUGUGCUACAUCAGGAACUCCAGUUGCUUGUUUGUUUAAAUCACUUUGGUUUUGGGGAGAAUGCACUACAGGGAUCCCAGCUGGAGACAGGCACAAUGAUUUGGAGAUUACUGGAGAAAUUCUGAUGAGAAAGGGUGACUGCACCAUUGGUGGCAAUGGGAAUGGAGAAGAGUAGACAGAUUUGAGAAUUAGUAGGUAAAUUAAUUAGUAGGUAAGUGCAUAUUGGUGCCUACAGGGAAUGAGGAAGGUUGGGCCCCCCUCAUAUUUAUGUUUGGACCAAUGGUGGUGCCUCUGACAGGAAAAAGAGCAGGCUUAUGGGUGAACAGAAGGUCUGACCUGAAUUUAUGGGUGUGAGGUGACCGAGUGGGGAUGUUCGGAAGACUUUUGGCUAUGUUGGUCUGAAGAUUGGAAGAGAGGUUUGGCAUUGGAAGCCAUCUGUGUCCAUAUGGUAAGAUGGCAUAGGUGGCACUCCUUUUUUCCUCAGGAUCUUUGUUCCGUAUCUGCAGUGGAUGUACCAUAUGCUGCACGUUGGGGAUACAACGGUGAACAAGAAGACUGGGUUUCUGGAGUUCCUGUCAUGGUGCAGCAGAAAGGAAUCCGACUAGGAACCAUGAGGUUUUGGGUUUGAUCCCUGGCCUUGCUAAGUGGGUUAAGGAUCCGGUGUUGCCCGUGAGCUGUGGUGUAGGUCGCAGACACAGCUUAGAUCUGGUGUUGCUGUGGCUGUGGUGUAGACUGGCGAAACAGCUCCAAUUCGACCCCUAGCCUGGGAACCUCCACCAGCGGCCCUAAAAAAAAAAAAAAAAAAGACUGAAUUUCUGCUCUCAAGUGUCUUAAUCUAUAAAAUUAAAAUGAUCUAUAAAAUCAAAAUAAUAGUGAUAUUAAGAGAGAUGAGUUGGAAGUUCCUGUUGUGGCUCAGCAGCAAGACGUCCGACUAGUAUCCAGGAGGAUCCAUGAGGACGCGGAUUCCAUCCAUCCCUGGCCUCACUCAGUGUAUUUCCGAUCCUGCGUUGCUUGAGCUGUGGUGUAGGUCGCAGACACGGCUUGGAUCCUGCGAUGCUGUGGCUGUGGUGUAGGCC
This 3842-nucleotide long non-coding RNA is filed under the name Sus scrofa (pig). RNAcentral describes it as "lncRNA (ENSSSCG00060032289.1)". Lineage: Eukaryota; Metazoa; Chordata; Mammalia; Artiodactyla; Suidae. The record is from RNAcentral.